CGCUCACCGACUCUAUACACAAUGUGAUUGGCCUGACCAGAAUUUGUUUUUUCCAGUACAUAAUCCAACGAAGAAUUGCUAGACAGACCCUGGCUGCAAAUUAAAUUUCCUGCCGCUAGGGUGGGUCUAGAUUUCUAGGCUAGUGGAAUCUGAUUGCUAC
Molecule: long non-coding RNA, 160 nt
Organism: Etheostoma cragini (Arkansas darter)
Lineage: Eukaryota; Metazoa; Chordata; Actinopteri; Perciformes; Percidae
Exons: 3
Source: RefSeq, a predicted model, not a curated record